AUUGAACGCUGGCGGCAGGCCUAACACAUGCAAGUCGAGCGGAUGAAGGGAGCUUGCUCCUGGAUUCAGCGGCGGACGGGUGAGUAAUGCCUAGGAAUCUGCCUGGUAGUGGGGGAUAACGUCCGGAAACGGGCGCUAAUACCGCAUACGUCCUGAGGGAGAAAGUGGGGGAUCUUCGGACCUCACGCUAUCAGAUGAGCCUAGGUCGGAUUAGCUAGUUGGUGGGUUAAAGGCCUACCAAGGCGACGAUCCGUAACUGGUCUGAGAGGAUGAUCAGUCACACUGGAACUGAGACACGUUCCAGACUCCUACGGGUGGCAGCAGUGGGGAAUAUUGGACAAUGGGCGAAAGCCUGAUCCAGCCAUGCCGCGUGUGUGAAGAAGGUCUUCGGAUUCUAAAGCACUUUAAGUUGGGAGGAAGGGCAGUAAGUUAAUACCUUGCUGUUUUGACGUUACCAACAGAAUAAGCACCGGCUAACUUCGUG
Molecule: ribosomal RNA, 484 nt
Filed under: uncultured bacterium
Lineage: Bacteria
Description: partial 16S ribosomal RNA
Rfam family: Bacterial small subunit ribosomal RNA
Source: RNAcentral